RNAcentral lists this ribosomal RNA (279 nucleotides) under uncultured bacterium. RNAcentral's name for it is "partial 16S ribosomal RNA". It matches the Rfam family "Bacterial small subunit ribosomal RNA", at positions 506 to 784 of the family's 1533-position model. The record is from RNAcentral.
UGCCAGCCGCCGCGGUAAUACGGAGGGUGCAAGCGUUAAUCGGAAUUACUGGGCGUAAAGCGCGCGUAGGUGGUUUGUUAAGUGGAAUGUGAAAGCCCUGGGCUCAACCUAGGAAUUGCAUCCCAAACUGGCAAACUAGAGUACAAGAGAGGGGUGUGGAAUUUCCUGUGUAGCGGUGAAAUGCGUAGAUAUAGGAAGGAACAUCAGUGGCGAAGGCGACGCCCUGGCUUGAUACUGACACUGAGGUGCGAAAGCGUGGGGAGCAAACAGGAUUAGAUA